Molecule: ribosomal RNA, 422 nt
Filed under: uncultured bacterium
Lineage: Bacteria
Description: bacterial SSU rRNA
Rfam family: Bacterial small subunit ribosomal RNA
Source: RNAcentral
UGGGGAAUAUUGGACAAUGGGCGGAAGCCUGAUCCAGCAACGCCGCGUGAGGGAUGACGGCCUUCGGGUUGUAAACCUCUUUCAGUUCUGACGAAGCUGUGCCUUUUUGGGUGUGGUGACGGUAGGGACAGAAGAAGCACCGGCCAACUACGUGCCUGCAGCCGCGGUAAUACGUAGGGUGCGAGCGUUGUCCGGAAUUAUUGGGCGUAAAGGGCUCGUAGGCGGUUUGUCGCGUCGGGAGUGAAAACCGGGUGCUCAACACCUGGCUUGCUUUCGAUACGGGCAGACUAGAGGCAUUCAGGGGAGAACGGAAUUCCUGGUGUAGCGGUGAAAUGCGCAGAUAUCAGGAGGAACACCGGUGGCGAAGGCGGGUCUCUGGGAAUGUCCUGACGCUGAGGAGCGAAAGUGUGGGGAGCGAACAG